GGAGCAGCGGCCGGGAGCCCUUAGGGAGGCAGACAGAGCCUGCAGCCAAUGCCCCAGGAGCCCUCGGUUCCAACCGAUGCCCCAGUGCCCACUGGCCCACGCCAUGCAGCCCCAGUCCGUUCUGCACAGCGGCUACUUCCACCCACUACUUCGGGCCUGGCAGACAGCCACCACCACCCUCAAUGCCUCCAACCUCAUCUACCCCAUCUUUGUCACGCCCUGGGCUUGGCCAGGCAGGGAAGCCAGACACUGGAUCCCAUCCUCCUCCCACCAUCUCCACUUCCAUAUUUCUUCCCUGCUUCCCAACCACCCCUCUCAGUCGCCCCCGCACCACUGGCCCUUCCCACAGCUACCAAUCCAUAUCCCACCCCCGCUCUUGCAGGGAUGUUCCUGAUGACAUACAGCCUAUCACCAGCCUCCCAGGAGUGGCCAGGUAUGGUGUGAACCGGCUGGAAGAGAUGCUGAGGCCCUUGGUGGAAGAGGGCCUACGCUGUGUCUUGAUCUUUGGCGUCCCCAGCAGAGUUCCCAAGGACGAGCGGGGUUCCGCAGCUGACUCUGAGGAGUCCCCAGCUAUUGAGGCAAUCCAUCUGUUGAGGAAGACCUUCCCCAACCUCCUGGUGGCCUGUGACGUCUGCCUGUGUCCCUACACCUCCCAUGGUCACUGCGGGCUCCUGAGUGAAAAUGGAGCAUUCCGGGCUGAGGAGAGCCGCCAGCGGCUGGCUGAGGUGGCAUUGGCGUAUGCCAAGGCAGGAUGUCAGGUGGUAGCCCCGUCGGACAUGAUGGAUGGACGCGUGGAAGCCAUCAAAGAGGCCCUGAUGGCACAUGGACUUGGCAACAGGGUAUCGGUGAUGAGCUACAGUGCCAAAUUUGCUUCCUGUUUCUAUGGCCCUUUCCGGGAUGCGGCUAAGUCAAGCCCAGCUUUUGGGGACCGCCGCUGCUACCAGCUGCCCCCUGGAGCACGAGGCCUGGCUCUCCGAGCGGUGGUGAGUGACUAGGACUUGAGCCCCACCCUCAGCCCCCUCCUAGGCACCACCCACACUAUACCCUCAUCCCUUAGGACCGGGAUGUACGGGAAGGAGCUGACAUGCUCAUGGUGAAGCCGGGAAUGCCCUACCUGGACAUCGUGCGGGAGGUAAAGGACAAGCACCCUGACCUCCCUCUCGCCGUGUACCACGUCUCUGGAGAGUUUGCCAUGCUGUGGCAUGGAGCCCAGGCCGGGGCAUUUGAUCUCAAGGCUGCCGUACUGGAGGCCAUGACUGCCUUCCGCAGAGCAGGUGCUGACAUCAUCAUCACCUACUACACACCACAGCUGCUACAGUGGCUGAAGGAGGAAUGAUGGAGACAGUGCCAGGCCCAAGAACUAGAACUUUAAAAUGUUCCCGGGGCCUCAGACAAGUGAAAACCAAAGUAAAUGCUGCUUUUAGAACUGUGCCCUCAUGCCCUCUUCCUGCUCACAUGCUAGCGGGGCCCAGCAGCCCUGGGUGGUUUUGCCAGCAUGCUAACUCUUGCAACUCGCAGCUGCAUCCUAUGAGCUCUCCCAAGCUUCCCCGCCCCUCCCCUGGGUCAGCCGUGAGGCUCACCUUUGCCACCCUCAGCUCUUUCCUCUGGUGUGGCUUCAGCUUGAAAGCAACCUGGAGUCGGGGGCACAGCCUUUGGGGCCUGGCUGGGAGAGGGUCUUGGAGCAUUAGGGGAAGAAGAGAGCAGUGGGAUCUUGGGGCCUGAGAAGCCUUGGAACGCUUCUGGCAGCAGAGCUGGGUGUGGGAAUGAGGCCUAGAUCGAUAUCCCUGGGUUAGAGUUGAAAUUUGCUGCAAUUCCACUGGAAGGCAUUUCCCACGAGGCCAGAGGUUGCCAGGCUGCCCGAGGUCUCCUAUUCUACUCUGAACCAUAAACCCAGAGAAGAAUUACUCAUUAACCAGCAUAAAUACUGCCUGAGGAUCAAAACUCAGAGGCAAAGAGGGAGUUCCUGACUGCUAGAGAUGCCGCCACCACAAACACUUUUUAUUUAGGAGAUACUUUUUGAGAAUCUCUGCUCUGUUCCUAGGUUCAGUGCUGGGUCCUGGGAAUACAGCAGGACAGACCUCAGCUUAUCUCUUCAUAGAAAUUAUACAAAGAGAAUAGGGGAGACAGCUAAGAAGAAAACAAAGAAAUAAAGCAGUUACAAAUUGUGAUAAGUGCUUCAAAGGAAAGAAGGGGUCUGAGACAAAGAACAACAGGGAAGGGGCCUCUCUUGAAACAGUAGUUGGGAAGGAGGCAGACAUGCACCAGUGAUGUGGUGACAGGUGCUGUGAAGGAGGUCACCAGGACCUGACCUCUUUGAAGGAUCAGAAAAUACUUCCCUGAAGGACUGACACUUGAGCCUAGACCUGAAGGGUGAGCCAUCAAGCUAAGACAAUUGGGGAAGAGCAUUCCAGGGAGAGGGAGGAGUUGUGCAAAGGCCCUGGGGCUCCUUCUAGCUGGAGGAAUGCAAGGCUAGCUUGUCUGGAGCACUGAGAGGAUGGCCUGAACUGAGUGGAGAGAGACAGACCAGGACCAAACCAUGCAGAGGUCAAGGGCCACAUUCACCUUUUCAGAGUGACUCAAUCAAAUCUGUAGUUUGUAAAAGUAUUUUAACAGCUCUGCGGCAAAGUGCAAAUGAAAAGUCUUGAUGGCAUGGACUGGAGCGGGGACAGUGGGGAUGGAGAAAGGGGAAUGGAUUGUGGAUGUGUUUAGAAGGUAGAUUAGAUGUGAGGGAUGAAUCUGGCUUGACCUUCUGGGUGGCUGAUGGGCCAUUUACUGAGAUGGGGCAGCCUGGAAGAGGAACAGAAGCAGGGUCGGGGUGGAGGGAGAAUACUAAACUUAGCUUGAGACAUUUUGCAAUAAGGAAGCUAUAUCUAGAGUGCUUAUGUGACUCACCUAAGGCCACUCAACAAGUUUGUGGCAGAACUGGAUUAGAACCGCACAGAAAACAGCCAAGCUGGAAUUUGAACCCAUGUAGUCCAACUCCAAGGCCUCUGCCCCUAACCACUGUGCCAUACCACCUCCCAAUAAUCAACAGCAAAAUUAUAGGUCUAACAAUGUUUUACAGACACCCCUCCAUUUAUGCGAUGGGUUUGCAUCCUGAUAAACCCAUCAUAAGUUGAAAAUAUGAUCAUAAGUCAAAAAUGUAUUUAAUAUACCUAACUUACCAAACAUCAUAGCUUAGCCUAGCCUGCCUUAAACAUGCUCAGAACACUUACAUUAGCCUACAGUGGGCAAAACUAUCCAACACAAAAUCUAUAUUGUAAUAAAGUUAUAAAGAAUUUUGAAUCAAAAUUCAGUAUUUG
Molecule: small RNA, 3302 nt
Filed under: Pan troglodytes (chimpanzee)
Lineage: Eukaryota; Metazoa; Chordata; Mammalia; Primates; Hominidae
Description: retained intron
Source: RNAcentral